RNAcentral lists this ribosomal RNA (447 nucleotides) under uncultured bacterium. Its description in RNAcentral is "bacterial SSU rRNA". It matches the Rfam family "Bacterial small subunit ribosomal RNA", at positions 330 to 794 of the family's 1533-position model. The record is from RNAcentral.
UCCAGACUCCUACGGGAGGCAGCAGUGGGGAAUAUUGCACAAUGGGGGAAACCCUGAUGCAGCGACGCCGCGUGAGCGAUGAAGUAUUUCGGUAUGUAAAGCUCUAUCAGCAGGGAAGAAAAUGACGGUACCUGACUAAGAAGCUCCGGCUAAAUACGUGCCAGCAGCCGCGGUAAUACGUAUGGAGCAAGCGUUAUCCGGAUUUACUGGGUGUAAAGGGAGCGCAGGCGGCGCGCCAAGUCUGGUGUGAAACCCCGGGGCUCAACCCCGGGACUGCAUUGGAAACUGGCGUGCUGGAGUGUCGGAGGGGCAGGCGGAAUUCCUGGUGUAGCGGUGAAAUGCGUAGAUAUCAGGAGGAACACCGGUGGCGAAGGCGGCCUGCUGGACGACAACUGACGCUGAGGCUCGAAAGCGUGGGGAGCAAACAGGAUUAGAUACCCUAGUACC